RNAcentral lists this transfer RNA (174 nucleotides) under Xanthomonas phage XAJ24. RNAcentral describes it as "tRNA-Trp". The stretch from base 100 to 171 matches the Rfam family "tRNA". The record is from RNAcentral. Lineage: Duplodnaviria; Heunggongvirae; Uroviricota; Caudoviricetes; Autographivirales; Autonotataviridae.
AGUAUGUGACACCAGCGGACUACCGGCUGCACUAAACAGGUAGGAUGGUGGCGACAGGACGCCCAGCGGGUUAGAGACCCGGUAGCUUGACAAGUCAGCGUCUCGGUAGUGUAAUGGCAACAUACCGGCCUCCAAAGCCGUGAGAUUAGGGUUCGAGUCCCUACCGAUUCGCCA